Molecule: non-coding RNA, 99 nt
Filed under: Jeotgalicoccus aerolatus
Lineage: Bacteria; Bacillati; Bacillota; Bacilli; Caryophanales; Staphylococcaceae
Description: SAM riboswitch (S box leader)
Rfam family: SAM riboswitch aptamer (S box leader)
About the family: The SAM riboswitch is found upstream of a number of genes which code for proteins involved in methionine or cysteine biosynthesis in Gram-positive bacteria.
Source: RNAcentral
UCUUAUCCAGAGAGGUGAAGGGACUGGCCCGUUGAAACCUCAGCAACAGACCAUUUGGUACUGUGCUAAUUCCAGGAGCAUCAACUGCUCAAAGAUAAG